Long non-coding RNA from Felis catus (domestic cat), 716 nucleotides. RefSeq lists it as uncharacterized. NCBI's taxonomy places the organism in Eukaryota, Metazoa, Chordata, Mammalia, Carnivora, Felidae. The transcript is spliced from 2 exons. The record is from RefSeq and is a predicted model, not a curated record.
GCUGCUGAGAAAGCUCUUCCUUGCCUCUUAGUUCUCGAAAGGCCUUUGAGACGCUGGCGAGGGUCCAGCAUUGGGAGUACUGAAAUCUCCGCGAGGAAGGCGCCGCGGUGUUUCCGAGCAGCCCGGGGCUGGGGGGUGUCGGUGGGGAACGUGGGCUGGGAGGAGCUCCUGGGACAGCCUCGCCGCCCCUCGGGAACCACCUCUCCCCUGCGCCGGCCGCCUUAGGGUUUUCCCUUCCUCACGGGAGCCUGGCCUUCGGUCCCCUGUAAGGCAGCUGCCACUACCAUGAGCCAACCUUGCUGCUUUUGGUUUGUGCUUACCUGCCAUAUGCUGUUAUGGGCAGAGUGCUUUAGAAAUCUCGUUCAACCCUGCCAGGAACCGUAGAGAUAGAGGAAUGUGUUAAACAACAUCAAUCGAUUAUAAUACACCAAAUACAGAAUACGAGAACAUCUCCGGACAAAUGAAUGAGUUUCUCCAACAAAUAAAUGAAAAUAAUAAAAAAGUGGGAAGAGGAACCUAUAGAUUAAAAGACAGUUAAGAAAUACAUGACAUGUCCAAACUAAAUGAGGAUAAAUUGUUUAGAUCUGGAUUCAAAUGCCCCAACUGUAAAAGCCUUUCUGAGAUAGGAAACAUUUGAGCACUGACUCUGUAUUUGGUAUUAAAUAAUUGUUAUUUUUAUGUGCAUCAAAGAUAAAGAUAUUUUGGCUAUCUUAAAA